This 302-nucleotide ribosomal RNA is filed under the name Burkholderia sp. M47tronco8. RNAcentral describes it as "bacterial SSU rRNA". It matches the Rfam family "Bacterial small subunit ribosomal RNA", at positions 54 to 355 of the family's 1533-position model. The record is from RNAcentral. Lineage: Bacteria; Pseudomonadati; Pseudomonadota; Betaproteobacteria; Burkholderiales; Burkholderiaceae.
CAUGCAAGUCGAACGGCAGCACGGGGAGCAAUCCUGGUGGCGAGUGGCGAACGGGUGAGUAAUACAUCGGAACGUGUCCUGUAGUGGGGGAUAGCCCGGCGAAAGCCGGAUUAAUACCGCAUACGAUCUACGGAAGAAAGCGGGGGAUCCUUCGGGACCUCGCGCUAUAGGGGCGGCCGAUGGCAGAUUAGCUAGUUGGUGGGGUAAAGGCCUACCAAGGCGACGAUCUGUAGCUGGUCUGAGAGGACGACCAGCCACACUGGGACUGAGACACGGCCCAGACUCCUACGGGAGGCAGCAGU